AAGUCGUAACAAGGUUUCCGUAGGUGAACCUGCGGAAGGAUCAUUACCGAGUCACCGUGUUCUGCACGGACUCCCACCCUUUGCAUACCUACCUGUUGCUUCGGCGGGACGUGGUUGAGAGGUCAUGCUUUUUGCGUGCCUCGAGACGCGGUCUCUUUUGCGGUCUUGCGGUCUUGUAACAGAGACGGCCAACGCAAAAGAGAAGCCUGCUCGCCGAGGGUUCAAACUCUUGAUACUUUUUGCAGUCUGAGAAAAAAAACAAAUCAAUCAAAACUUUCAACAACGGAUCUCUUGGUUCUG
This is an unclassified non-coding RNA of 300 nucleotides. The stretch from base 1 to 46 matches the Rfam family "Eukaryotic small subunit ribosomal RNA", at positions 1786 to 1831 of the family's 1831-position model.